This is a long non-coding RNA of Eriocheir sinensis (Chinese mitten crab), 5453 nucleotides long. RefSeq lists it as uncharacterized. The transcript is spliced from 2 exons. Lineage: Eukaryota; Metazoa; Arthropoda; Malacostraca; Decapoda; Varunidae. The record is from RefSeq and is a predicted model, not a curated record.
UCUCUCUCUCUCUCUUCUCUUCUCUGCUCUUCUCUUCUCAUCUAUUCUCUCUCUCUAUAUCUCUAUCUACUUUUCUAUCUCUAUCUCUGUCACUCCUUCCUUUUCUCCUUCAACUCUUUCCUCCAUCUACCUCCUCCUUCCUUCCAUCCUUCUCCUCCCAUCUACUAUUCUUACUCAAUCCUCCCAUCCUCAUUUUCCUCCCUUCCUUCUCCUCCUGAAUUGGGGGAUCAUGUGAUUUUUUCCUCAUUUUAUUUUUAACUUUUCCUUCUUUUCCUCCUCUUCUUCUUCUUUCUAGUUGUUUCCCGCUUAUUUUCAAUGCUCUUAUCUCAUUUCCUUUCUUCUUUAUUUUGUUAUUUUCUUUAUUCUCUCCUUUCAUUCACUCAUUCAUUCAUUAUUUCUGUUUUUUUUCUGUUUUUUCUCAAAUUUUCAUUCCUUCCUUUCUUACUGCCGUUAUUAAAUUCUUCCUUAUUUCCUUUCUUUCUUUCUUUCUUUCUUUCUUUCUUUCUUUCUUCCUUCCUUCCUUUAUUCAUUCAUUCAUUCUCAAUCCCUUCUUACCUCACCAUUCUUUAUCACACACACACACACACACACACACACACACACAUACCCCCCUCCCCUGACAUACACACAUUACCCUUCCUCCCCUAAUCCCAAAGCACACACAUACACACAUACACACAUCCAUCAACCACCACCACCACCACCACCACUACCACAACCUAAGCCACUCCGAUCCAACCGAUUCCAUAAGUCUGAGCUAACGAGACCCAUCACAGCGGAACGUUCUCCUCCUGCUGCUUGUGAUCGUAAGGACAAAAUCACGUGACCUGCUUCCGAAUGAGAGAGAGAGAGAGAGAGAGAGAGAGAGAGAGAGAGAGAGAGAGGAGGUUAGUAUUUGUCUAUUUUCUUCCUAUUUCUUCGUUUUCCUUCCUAUUCCCUAUUCUUGAAGCUACGAAUGGAAGAGACAAACAGAAGAAGAGAGAAAGGAGGUGAGAAAGAAAAUGAGAGAAAGAAAGAGAGCAAGGUUGUCCAUUUUCUUGCUUUUCUUUGAUUUCUUUCUUAUUUACUUAUUUUUAGGUCUAUGAGAGAGAGAGAGAGAGAGAGAGAGAGAGAGAGAGAGAGAGAGAGAGAGAGAGAGAGAGAGAGAGAGAGAGAGAGAGGGGAGACUAAGGUAACUAAGUAAGGUAAUUUUACUCUUCUUUAAAUCCUAAUGGAACAAAACAACCAAUUACUCACAAGCCAAGUGUGUGUGUGUGUGUGUGUGUGUGUGUGUGUGUGUGUGUGGUUAUGACCGUGCUUGCCUUGCCUUGUUUUCCCUCGCCUGUGUUUUAUCUCCCUGUGUUUUUUUUCGGUGUUUUUUUUUCCUCUGGACCUCAAAGUGUUCGGUGUAUUACGGAAAAAGACCCAUUACGUGUGUGUGUGUGUGUGUGUGUGUGUGUGUGUGUGUGUGUGUGUGUGUGUGUGUGUGUGUGUGUGUGUGUGUGUGUGUUUUAAUCUCACAAACUGUACUGCCCCGCUUAAUGUAAUGGGUAGCGGUGGUGUGUGUGUGUGUGUGUCUGUGUGUGUGUUAAUAUGUGUUGAGGUUUGUGUUUGAGGCGAAGGCGAGGAAGGGAGAGACUGACUAGGUGUGUGUUGAAGGGAGAAAAGUGUUUGCAAAGGUGUAUACGAUGAACAUGUGUGUGUGGAAAAGAACUAAAACAUGAAAAAGAGUUGACAUGACGAAAAUGGAAUAAGAAAUGAAAUACUACUAAAACUACGAACAUGUGUGGGGGAAAAGACUAUAUAAAAAAAAGAAGUUCACAUGACAAAAAUGGAACACGAAAUGGAAUACUAUGAAAAUGUGGAAAUAAUGAAAAAGUGGAUAUCAAGAAGAAAAAAGUGGAUUGUAUAUAAAAAAAGGAUAUUAUAUGAAAAAGUGAAUAUAAUAAAGGAUAAUACUAAAAACUUAUACAUGACAAAAAAGCGUAAUUAAGAAAAUGAUGUACUGCAAAAAGGUGUUCUUAGGAAGGUAUAUAUGAGAAGGUGCCAAGGAGAAGGUGCCAAGGAGAAGGUGCCAAGGAGAAGGUACCAAGGAGAAGGUGCCAAGGAGAAGGUGCCAAGGAGAAGGUGCCAAGGAGAAGGUGCCAAUAUAAAAAAAGGCACACUAAAAAAAAAAAAAAACAUCAAGGAACCGUAAAUAAGACAGUUGAAAAAAAAAGGAACUCUUAAAACAAUUGCGUUGGAUAAAGGUCAGCAGAAACGUCAAUACAAAAGGUGAUAUAUUAAGGUGUGUCAGUAUAUUGUUGAAGAGUGCGUUGAAAAAGAAAAGGUCAGUUGAAAAGGUGUUAGAAAAGAUAUGUUAAAAGGUUAUAUAUAAAGGUGUGUUAGUAGAUUGUCGAAGAGUGCGUUGGAAAGGAAAAGGUCAGUUGAAAAGGUGUUAGAAAAGAUAUGUUAGAAGGGGAUAUAUUAAGGUGUGUCAGUAUAUUGUUGAAGAGUGCGUUGAAAAGGAAAGGUCAGUUGAAAAGGUGUAAGAAAAGAUAUGUUAAAAGGUAAUAUAUAAAGGUGUGUUAGUAGAUUGUCGAAGAGUGCGUUGAAAAAGAAAAGGUCAGUUGAAAAGGUGUUAGAAAAUAUAUGUUAAAAGGUAAUAUAUGAAGGUGUGUUAGUAGAUUGUCGAAGAGUGCGUUGGAAAGGAAAAGGUCAGUUGAAAAGGUGUAAGAAAAGAUAUGUUAAAAGGUAAUAUAUAAAGGUGUGUUAGUAGAUUGUCGAAGAGUGCGUUGAAAAGGAAAAGGUCAGUUGAAAAGGUGUUAGAAAAGAUAUGUUAAAAGGUUAUAUAUUUAGAGUGUGUUGGAAAGGAAAGGUCAGUUGAAAAGGUGUUAGAAAAGGUGUGUUAAAAGGCGCAAACUCAUCAGUAAGGUGUUUUGCCCUCCUUUGCUGAAACACUGAGAAGAAGGAAGAGGAAGAGGAAGAGGAGGAGGAGGAGGAAGUGCGUGUGAGCGUGUCUAAACUAUAAACUGCUCCUCCGCACGCAAACUCACGCAAAAGCACACGCACGCACACAUACACACACAGACGCACACACAGAACCUCUCCACACACAUACACACACAAGAAAAGGAAAAAGAAAAAAAAUGACCUCGAAAAACAGUGCAACAAGACAAGACAGUGAUAUACAAACGAAAAAAAGAAAACAAAACAAAAAGAAAACAAAAGAAAUGACAGGAAAGUGUGUUAGUCUUAAGGUCGUAAAUUUUAAGGUUUUCUAACAAAGAUAAAAAAAAACGAUAAAAAAACGAGAAAAAACAGUGCUUAUAAGUUUUCCUAAUAAACGAAUGUAAACAAAAAAAAUAUAUAUGUAAAAAAAUUCAAACAUUUUUUUCUACGUGUUUGGAGUGUGUGUGUGUGUGUGUGUGUGUGUGUGUGUGUGUGUGUGUGUGUGUGUGUGUGUGUGUGUGUGUGUGUGUGUAAAGGUGUUUUAUGUGUUGUAUAUAAAUAAAUAAACAAAAUGGUACAUACAUAUAUAAAUAUAUAUACAUAAACUUAUCUACACAUCUAUGUUAUGUUAAUCCUCUUGUAUAUAACGUGUGUGUGUGUGUGUGUGUGUGUGUGUGUGUGUGUGUGUGUGUGUGUGUGUGUUCCCACCAGGUGUUAUGUACAGGUAAAGGUGAGAUAAGGUGAUAAUUAGCUUUCUCUACUGUUUCACUCUCUUUUCUUCUUCUUCUUCUUCUUCUUCUUCUUCUUUUUUCUUCUUCUUUUUCUUAAAUAUCUUACUUUAUCGAUUUCUUACUUCCUUUCCCUCUCCGCAUUCUCCUCCUCCUUCUCUUUUGCUACCUUACUUUUUCCCUUUUCAUACAUUUCCUCCUUUCAUUCUUCAUUCUUUCUGUUUUUCUUCAUUAUUUUCCUCUUUUCUCUAAUUCAUUCCUUUUUCGUUUUAAUUCUCCGGUUUUUUUCCUUCAUUCUCUGCCUUCUCAUUUUUUUCUCUCCUCUUCCUCCUCUUGUUUAUUGUCCACUUUUCUUAUUCUUGUUUUCUGUUCCUUCUUCCUCUAUUUCUUCUCUAUUUUUCUUUCCAAUAUAUUUUCCGUGCGUCUUCAAUCUUCAUAUCUUUUCCUUUUUAUCUUUUCCUUUUCAUCAUUUUCUUUUUUUAAUUCUCACGCAACAUUUUUUUCCUUCCUCAAUCUGUCUUUCACUUUCACUCUCUUCCUCUCCUUCUCACCUUCAUCACUUCCACCUCCAAUUAGUCCAAAAGGGUGAAGGUGAGGCGAGAAUCAUUACCUGUAUUUUGUAUUGAUGAAGAUGAUGGUGAAAGUGAAGAUGCUGGUAAGGAUGGUAAGGAAGGUAAUAAUGUUUGUGAUAAUGAUGGUGAAGAUGAUGGUGAUGAUGAUGGUGUUGUAUCCAUUUUCCUUUUUACUCGACGUCAUGAUCAAAUGUUGGGUGUUGUUGGCUUACCUUAAUUGGUCCAGGUGUGAUGUUACCUGUCAUCUAUCCUCCUCCUCCUCCUCCUCCUCCUCCUUCUUCUCUUCCAUUCUUCCUCUUCCUUCCUCUUCUUUCUCUUCCCUACUUUCAUCCUCUUUCAUCUUCGUGUCUCCUAAUUACUUGUACCCUGCACCUCUUCCUCAUCCUCCCCUUCCUCUUCCUUCCUCUUCUCUCUCUUCCCUGCUUUCAUCCUCUUCCUUCCUUGUGUCUCCUAAUUACCUGUGCAAUCUUCCUCUUCCUCUUCCUCUUCCUCUCCUCUUCUUCCUCCCUUUUUCUUUCUUUCCUACGUUCCCAUCCCAUUCUUUUCACUUCCUCUCUCUACCUUCUUCAGAUCCUUCCCCUCUUCCUCCUCUUCCUCCUCCUCUUCCUCCUCCUCCUCCUCGUCUCGUCAAGCCAACACGCAGCACCCAAUCUCGAUGUACCAUUCAUGUUGUUCUUUUAUAUAAGGAAGAAGAAGAAGAGGAGGAGGAGGAGGAGGAGGAGGAGGAGGGAUGGAAGGAGUUUAUGUAUGUAUAGCCUGUUUACUUUUACUCACCUCCUCUUUCUUCCUCCUCCUCCUCCUCCUCCUCCUCCUCCUCCUCCUCCGAGCGGUAUAUAUUUACAUACAUCAAAUAGUUCUGCACUAGGAUGUUGUUUAUUUCUGGUCUGUUGAGUGUUAAGACGUCCAGCCACACACACACACACACACACACACACACACACACACACACACACACACACACAUUUCUGGAGGAUGAAUGGGGCUGACAGGCUUUCCACAGUGUGUGUAUGUGAAUGCGUGCGUGUGUGUGUGUGUGUGUGUGUGUGUGUGUGUGUGUGUGUGUGUUUCCCCCUCGCUAAUGUCCUUCACAGCUGGUCUCCUUUCCUCUGUACGUGUGUGUGUGCGUGUGUGUGUGUGUGUGUGUGUGUGUGUGUGUGUGUGUGUGUUCCCGGGCGUCUAAUGUCGUGUAACAGCAUAAACAUAACGACUGUUUUUAGAUAACAAAUAAAAGAAUGUUAUUUCC